Molecule: long non-coding RNA, 11722 nt
Filed under: Gossypium barbadense (sea-island cotton)
Lineage: Eukaryota; Viridiplantae; Streptophyta; Magnoliopsida; Malvales; Malvaceae
Description: long non-coding RNA (GBAR_LNC008314)
Source: RNAcentral
GACAACAAGCAAAGCUUCCGCAAUGAAAGUAUUUUCCAAAAUUAAUCACUUUUCCUAAAAAUGACUUAAUCAAAUCGGUUUCCUAGAAAUAUCCAUGACGUUAAGGUGUGGCAAUGGCGGUAUCCAUGUCUAGGAUUGGAUCCGAAGGGAGCUUGGUACUUAAGCAGCCUUCAUGGCUCACCUUCUCUUUUCCGGUUUCCUACCUGGUGCCCAGUGUAACACCCCUUACCCGAUACCGUUUCCGGAGUCGAGCACGAGGCAUUACUUAGCUUAUCUUACCAAUUCGGAGCAUAAAAACUAGGUUUGAAAUUUUAUUUCAUUAUUCGCAGCAAAUCUGUCCAAUCGCGCAGCAGUUACUAAAUUAAUUAUAACAUGAGCUACAGAACUCGAAAUUUAAUUCCGUAAAUUUUCCCUGAAACUAGACUCAUAUAUAUACUCACCAUAAAAUUUUUAGAAUUUUUGGUUCAUAAAAUUAGUACAGUUUAUUAGUUAAAGUCUCCCCUGUUUCACCACCUGACUGCCCUGACCUCUAGUCACUAAAAAUAAGUUUUCUCACUGUAGGAUUUUCAUAUGAAGUUCUUACUUGUUUCUACAGAAAAUAGACUCAUUAAGAAAUCUAAGCAUGUAAAUUUCAACUCAUAAACAUUUUUGUACAAUUUGUAAUUAUUUUCUAAACUCAGAACAGGGGACUCCAAAAACAGUUCUGACCCUAUCUUACUAAAAUUCACAUAUCUUAAAAUAUAAAUUUCCUUUUUCUACACCGUUAUUUUUCCAUGAAAAUAGACUCAACAAGCUUUAAUUCCAUAUAUCAUUCACCCUCUAAUUCAUUUUAUACUAUCUUGGGUGAUUUUUCAAAUUCACGUCACUGUGCUGCCUGAAUUCUGUUUCUUUGCAAAAUUUUAUCCUUUCAUGAUUUCCAUGCAUAAUUUAUCACCUAAUCUUUCAUAACAACAAACACCUUCAUCCUUAAUCAUUUUAAUAACCAUACAUCAUCAAAUACUUACACAUCACUCAUUAGCAAAAUCAUCAUUACAAACAUACAAAAUAACUAAAUCCCUAUACAUGCCAUAACUCAAACGUGUUUCGAUAUAAAAUACCGAGCAGUUGUAGUUGAUAGUGUGGACGAUCUCCGACUUCUUUAGGAUCCUUGAAGUAGCUUUGCAAUACUAUAAGAGAAAGAGAAAUAAAAGAAGUAAGCAUAAAGCUUAGUAAGUUUACUAGUAAAUAAAUAACAAUAUUUAACUUAAAUAAUUAAACUCAAUGUCUAUAUCUCUAGUUUACUCUUUAGUUAAUCUCAUACUAGUUCUCUUACUUGUUUACUUAGAAUACUUGUGUGCAUAACUUACUCAAUCCUUGCUGCAUCGUUGAACAUCAAUUGAUAGUAUAAUAAGUUCUUAAGUCUUACAACUUACCUGAGCUUGCCAUUUAUGCUUUAAACUGAACUUUCAUGAACAUGAUUCGUUUACAAGCCCGUUGAGCUACAUUGGAAUAAUAAGGAUACUCGGGUCUCUUCUGAUAAUAACAUGCCAAAGCCAUGUCCCAGACAUGGUCUUACAUGGGAUGUUCUCGUGAUGGUGCCCAUGCCAUGUCCCAGACAUGGUCUUAUAGGGGACCUCUCAUCUCGGUGCCAACGCCAUGUCCCAGACAUGGUCUUACAUGGGACCUCUCGUUUCGGUGCCCAUGCCAUGUCCCAGACAUGGUCUUACAAGGGACCUCUCAUGAUCUUAAGGAUGCCAAUGCCAUGUCCCAGACAUGGUCUUACAUGGGAUCUCUUUACCCAAAUGUCAUGACAUUCGUAUCCAGUACCAUCCUUAUGUAUCAACGGGACUUUUAAAUUUUAAUUCUCUAUCAUUUCAUGCUUGAAUCAUCAUCAAAUAAAUUCAUAAAAUAAAUUCAUAAUUGCUGGAAAUUAACAGAAUUAAUAAUAAAUAUUUAAAUAUUGCAUUUAUUUACCGUAAACUUACCUCGGUACCAAUUAUAGCCAAAUUCACCAACUUAGUCUUCAACUUUAUUCUUCCCUUUGUCUAACCUCGAGUUUCGUACUUCUUGAUCUAAAAUAGUAAAUUUAACUUAUUUAAUAAUCACAUUCAUUAAAACAGCCCUCGACUCUAACUUUUUCAAAAUUACAAUUUUGCCCCUAAACUUUUACAUAAUUACAUUUUUGCCCCAAGGCUCGGAAAUUAAACUUCAUCUCUUAUUCUUAUGUUUUAUAACAUUCUGAACAUUUUUCCCUUCUAUGGCAACAUCAAAUUCUCACUCUAACAUGUACUUAUGAACAUUAGGUAUUUUUACCGAUUAUGUCGUUUUACUCGUUUUCACUUAAAAUCGCUUAGCAAAAGUUGUUUAACAUAAUUUCUAGCUUCAUAUUCCAUCAUAAAACAUCAAAAUAAACACUUUUCACCUAUGGGUAUUUUUCCAAAUAUAAACCCUAGGUUAAAUUAUUGCUAAAAUAAGCUAAAUUAAGCUACCCGGAUCUCAAAAACGUAAAGAACAUUAAAAACGGGGCUUGGGAUCACUUACUAUGGAGCUUGGAAGCUUGAAAACCCUAACUAUGGCUUCCCCCCUUGCUGAUUUCGUUCAUAUGAAGAAGAUGAUGAUUUUUGUCAUCUUUUUCCCUUUUAAUUCAUUUUAAUUACUAGAUUACCAAAUUGCCCCUAACUUAAAAAUUUUCUAUUUCACUUAUCUCAUGUCCAUUUUUGUCUACCAAAUUACCAAUGGUAUAAUUACCAUAUAAGGACCUCCAAUUUAAAGUUUCAUAACAAUUGGACACCUCUAACAUGUAGAACUCAACUUUUGCACUUUUUACAAUUUAGUCCUUUUGACUAAAUUGAGUGCCCAAACGUCGAAAUUUUCGAGCGAAAUUUUCAAAAAAUCAUUUUGUGAAAUUGUAGACCAUAAAAAUAUAAGAAAAAUAAAAUUUUUCUCAUCGGAUUUGUGGUUCCGAAACCACUGUUCCGAUAACCUCAAAUUUGGGCCAUUACAACUCUCCCCCCCUUUUUAGGAUUUUCGUCCUCGAAAAUCUUACCAGUAAAGAGAUUCGGGUAUUGCUUCCUCAUUGUCUCUUCCGGUUCCCAUGUUGCUUCCUCAAUCCCGUGCUUUUGCCAUAGCACUUUCACCAGAUUUACCUUUUUGUUUCUAAGCUCCUUUGUUUCUCGUGCUAAUACUUUAACCGGUUCUUCAUUAUAAGUCAUAUCUGGCUGAAUUUCUACUUCUGUUGGAGUAAUAACAUGUGAAGGAUCUGAUCGAUACCGUCGUAGCAUAGAUACAUGAAAUACAUUAUGAAUUUUGUCGAGUUCCGGUGGUAAAGCCAAUCGGUAAGCAACUGGUCCAAUUCUUUCUAUAAUCUCAUAUAGUCCGAUAAAUCUUGGACUCAAUUUACCCUUUCGACCGAACCGGAGAACUUUCUUCCAAGGAGACACUUUUAAGAAUACUUUAUCACCCACCUGAAAUUCAAUCUCCCUUCGUUUAAGAUCGGCGUAUGACUUUUGACGAUCGAAAGCUGCUUUUAAACUAUCCCGAAUCAGUCUUACUUUUUCUUCUGUUUCCCGAAUCAAAUCAACCCCGUGUAUCUUCUUUUCACUGAGCUCUGUCCAAUAUAAUGGUGUUCUACAUUUUCUACCAUACAAAGCUUCAUACGGAGCCAUUUUAAUACUGGACUGAUAACUGUUAUUAUAAGCAAAUUCAAUCAAAGGUAGAUACCUUUCCCAAUUACCUUGAAACUCUAAUGCACAACAUCGGAGCAUAUCUUCCAAUACCUGAAUUACACGCUCAGAUUGGCCAUCUGUCUGAGGAUGAAAUGCAGUACUGAAAUACAACUGAGUACCCAAAGCUUCUUGCAAUUUGUUCCAGAAACGAGACGUAAAUCGGGGAUCUCUGUCUAAUAUAAUGGAGACAGGCACUCCAUGUAGUCUAACAAUCUCAGAUAUAUACAAUCCAACCAAUUUAUCUAAAGAAUAAUCCAUACAUACUGGGAUAAAGUGCGCGGACUUUGUCAAUCGGUCGACAAUUACCCAAAUGGCAUCUUUCUUCCUCGGAGAUAACGGUAACCCAGAUACAAAAUCCAUAGUGAUUCUUUCCCAUUUCCAUUCCGGUAUAGUGAUUGGCUGAAGCAACCCCGAAGGUACCUGAUGUUCAGCCUUAACCUGCUGACAUACUAAACAUCUUGAUACAAACUCAGAGAUAUCACGUUUCAUACUCGGCCACCAAUACAUCUUUUUCAAGUCAUUAUACAUUUUAUUACCUCCCGGAUGUACAGACAUAAUACCACUGUGUGCUUCGUGUAAAAUCUUCUGUACAAGUUCUGAAUUCUUCGGUACACAUACUCUGCCUCUGAAUAAUAAACAACCAUCAGUUCCAAUCUGAAAUUCUGAAUCAUUACCUGACUCACAAUGCACCCGUUUAGCCUGUAAUUUCUCAUCAUUCCUCUGAGCUUCACAUAUUUGUUGACGAAAUGUCGAUUUAGCUCUCAAUUCAGCUAUGAUUGAACCAUCAUUAGACAGUGACAACCGGGUAUUCAUAGCUCGUAAAGCAAAUAGAGAUUUUCGGCUCAAAGCAUCAGCUACCACGUUAGCCUUACCCGGAUGGUAAUCAAUAACCAAAUCAUAAUCCUUUAUCAAUUCAAGCCACCUGCGUUGUCUCAAAUUCAAAUCUUUCUGUGUCAUCAAAUAUUUCAAGCUUUUGUGAUUAGUAUAAAUAUGACACUUUUCACCAUACAAAUAAUGCCGCCAUGUUUUCAAUGCAAAUACAAUAGCAGCUAACUCGAGAUCAUGUACCGGGUAGUUUCUUUCAUGUGGCUUAAGUUGUCUUGAAGCAUAGGCUAUUACUUUAUCUUCUUGCAUCAAGACACAACCCAAACCAUUUAAUGAUGCAUCACUAUAAAUAAUAAAUUCCUUACCCGAUUCAGGCUGUACCAAUACAGGUGCUUUCGUUAACAACUCCUUCAAUCGGUCGAAACUUUGCUGGCAUUUUUCUGUCCAUUCAAAUUUAACAUCUUUCUGUAAUAAACGGGUCAUUGGAGAAGCUAUCAUAGAAAACCCUUGUACAAAUCUCCGAUAAUAACCAGCUAAACCCAAGAAACUUCUAACUUCAGAUACAUUCUUCGGUGGACUCCAAUUGACAAUAGCUGAAAUUUUACUCGGAUCUACCCUGAUGCCUUCUGCGGAUACAAUAUGUCUGAGAAAACUUACCUCUCGAAGCCAAAAUUCACAUUUCCUGAAUUUAGCAUAAAGUUUCUUUUCACGCAGAAUUUGCAACACUCAGUUUCGUCCUGAGAAUAAACUAAAAUGUCAUCAAUAAAAACUACUACAAACCUAUCUAGAUACGGUCUGAGUAUCCGGUUCAUCAAAUCCAUGAAUACUGCAGGUGCACUAGUCAACCCAAACGGCAUAACCAGAAACUCAUAAUGCCCAUACCUGGUUCUGAAAGCUGUCUUUGGCACAUCUGGCUCUUUUACCCGUAACUGAUAAUAACCCGAUCGGAGAUCAAUCUUUGAAAAUACUGUGGCACCUUUCAGUUGAUCAAAUAAGUCAUCAAUUCGAGGCAAUGGGUACUUAUUCUUUAUAGUUACCUUAUUAAGCUGCCGAUAGUCAAUACACAAUCUCAAAGACCCGUCUUUCUUUUUCACAAACAGAACUGGAGCACCCCAAGGUGAAUGACUCGGACGAACAAAACCUCUGUCAACAAGUUCCUGUAACUGUGCCUUUAACUCUUUUAAUUCUGUAGGAGCCAUACGAUACGGAGCUAUGGAAAUUGGGGCAGUUCCCGGAAUCAGAUCUAUAGAAAAUUCCACUUCUCUUUCUGGUGGCAACCCUGGUAACUCCUCUGGAAAUACAUCAGAAAAUUCACAUACAACUGGCACUGCCUGUAUCUUUGACUCAGAUACCUUAGUAUCCAACACAUACGCCAAAUAAACAUCAUACCCUUUUCUAACACACCUCUGAGCUGUCAUAACUGAAAUCAUAUCGGAUAAUCCCUUUGUCUGAUUAGAUUUAACCCAAAGUAAUUCUCCAUUCUGGCAUUUCAACACAACAUAUUUUUGUCUACAGUUUACUACUGCAUCAUGCUGAGUUAACUAAUCCAUGCCCAAUAUCACAUCAAACUCAUCAAAAGGCAAUAACAUCAAGUCAACCGGGAAACAAAUACCUUUUACCAUCAGUGGACAAUUUUUACAAACUUUAUCCACUAUCACAAACUGGCCCAGGGGGUUCGAGACUUUAACCAUAAAUUCAGUAGGUUCAACAGACAAAUUUUUAACAAAUGCUAAUUUUGUGCAUAUAUAUGAAUGUGUAGAGCCAGGAUCAAUUAAUGCAAUAACAGUAGUAUCAUAGAGAGAAAAUGUACCCGCAAUUACAUCAGGAGAGGACGCCUCUUCACGAGCUCGAAUAGCAUAUGAUCUUGCAGGUGCUCUAACAUCUGAUCUAACCGCUGAAUCUUUGAAUGCACCCCUAUCACUUGCCCCCACUCCUGAGUUUCUCUGCGGUCUACCUCUGGUAGGAGCAUUACCUGAUCUCGCACUCGUUAUUUCUUCUCUUUUAGUUGUUUCAGGACAAUACCGAAUAAAGUGAUCGGAUGCUCCACAUCUGAAACAAACAUUUUCACCUGCUCUACACUCUCCGGGGUGGCGUCUCCCACAUUGAGGACAUUCCGGUCUAGGAGGUUGAGUACUGCCAGUACUUGCAACUGUAGUGGUUUGAGCUCUAAAACCCUCGAAUCUUCUACUUCUUCUUCGGCCAGAAUAUAUAUGUGGAAAAUGUGAUCCGCUAGAGAGCUCCCUAGGCCUCUUAGAUGUAGACUGAAAUGAUUUACUCAUUUGCCUCUUCUUUGUAUCCUACGCUCCAGCUUCAGUUUUGCUCUUCUCUUUUUCUUUUAACAAGUCUUCUACUUUACAAGCUCUUUCUACCAGAACAACAAACUCUCUGAUUUCCAAUACACCCACUGAUAGUCGGAUGUCAUCAUUAAGCCCAUCUUCAAAUCUCUUGCACAUGUUGGCUUCGGUGGAUACAAAUUCCCGAGCAUACUUACUAAGUCUGACAAAUUCACGUUCAUAUUCAGUCAUGGACAUCUUACCUUGUUUUAGCUCAAGAAACUCCUUCCUUUUCUGCUCUGUAAAUCUCUGGCUGAUGUACUUCUUUCGAAACUCCUCCUGAAAGAAAUCCCAAGUAACCCUCUCACUCGGUACGAUAGACACGAGAGUCUUCCACCAAUGAUAAGCGGAAUCUCUGAGAAGUGAGACCACACACUUCAUACAUUCUUCCGGUGUACAAGAUAAUUCUUCAAAAACCCUGAUGGUAUUCUCAAGCCAGAAUUCUGCUUUUUCUGCAUCGUCAUCUUUGGUAGCCCGAAAUUCUUCAGCCCCUUGCUUCCUAAUCUUAUCAACAGGUGGUCUCUCCCUGAUAAAUAUACCUACAGCUGGGGAAGCUACAUGGGGAACCUGUGAAUCUUGAGGGGGUGGAGGUCUUACAGCCGGAUUCGUACGAACGAACUCGGCAAACCAAUCAGUCAUGGCUUGGAAGAAGGCUUCUCUAGCUCCUCCUCCCUGUCUAUCUGAUGCAGGUCUUUCACUAACAUUAACAUCUGAUGGCACCGUCCCUUCUGCGGGAAUAGGCGCAUUACUCUCUACUUCAUCUGUACUAGCUCGUUCAGGAUCCAUAACUAUUAAAGAAAAUAUUUUAAAAUCGUCAAGAGUCGUCACACUAUCAAAAUAUAUAAGUAUGGCAUGUAUAGGUAGACUCUUAUUCUUACUGAGUAUUUCCGAGAACCGACUAAACCUACUCUGAUACCAAUAAAAUGUAACACCCCUUACCCGAGACCGUUUCCGGAGUCGAGCACGAGGCAUUACUUAGCUUAUCUUCCAAUUCGGAGCAUAAAAACUAGGUUUGAAAAUUUAUUUCAUUAUUCGCAGCAAAUCUGUCCAAUCGCGCAGCAGUUACUAAAUUAAUUAUAACAUGAGCUACAGAACUCGAAAUUUAAUUCCAUAAAUUUUUCCUGAAACUAGACUCAUAUAUCUACUCACAAUAAAAUUUUUAGAAUUUUUGGUUCAGCAAAUUAGUACAGUUUAUUAGUUAAAGUCUCCACUGUUUCACCACCUGACUGCCCUGACCUCUAGUCACUAAAAAUAAGUUUUCUCACUGUAGGAUUUUCAUAUGAAGUUCUUACUUGUUUCUACAGAAAAUAUACUCAUUAAGAAAUCUAAUCAUGUAAAUUUCAACUCAUAACCAUUUUUGUACAAUUUGUAAUUAUUUUCUAAACUCAGAACAGGGGACUCCAAAAAUAAUUCUGACCCUAUCUUACUAAAAUUCACAUAUCUUAAAAUAUAAAUUUCCUUUUUCUACACCGUUAUUUUUCCAUGAAAAUAGACUCAACAAGAUUUAAUUCCAUAUAUCAUUCACCCUCUAAUUCAUUUUAUACUAUCUUGGGUGAUUUUUCAAAUUCACGUCACUGUGCUGCCUGAAUUCUGUUUCUUUGCAAAAUUUUAUCCUUUCAUGAUUUCCAUGCAUAAUUUAUCACCUAAUCUUUCAUAACAACAAACACCUUCAUCCUUAAUCAUUUUAAUAACCAUACAUCAUCAAAUACUUACACAUCACUCAUUAGCAAAAUCAUCAUUACAAACAUACAAAAUAACUAAAUCCCUAUACAUGCCAUAACUCAAACGUGUUUCGAUAUAAAAUACCGAGCAGUUGUAGUUGAUAGUGUGGACGAUCUCCGACUUCUUUAGGAUCCUUGAAGUAGCUUUGCAAUACUAUAAGAGAAAGAGAAAUAAAAGAAGUAAGCAUAAAGCUUAGUAAGUUUACUAGCAAAUAAAUAACAAUAUUUAACUUAAAUAAUUAAACUCAAUGUCUAUAUCUCUAGUUUACUCUUUAAUUAAUCUCAUACUAGUUCUCUUACUUGUUUACUUAGAAUACUUGUGUGCAUAACUUACUCAAUCCUUGCUGCAUCGUUGAACAUCAAUUGAUAGUAUAAUAAGUUCUUAAGUCUUACAACUUACCUGAGCUUGCCAUUUAUGCUUUAAACUGAACUUUCAUGAACAUGAUUCGUUUACAAGCCCGUUGAGCUACAUUGGAAUAAUAAGGAUACUCGGGUCUCUUCUGAUAAUAACAUGCCAAAGCCAUGUCCCAGACAUGGUCUUACAUGGGAUGUUCUCGUGAUGGUGCCCAUGCCAUGUCCCAGACAUGGUCUUAUAGGGGACCUCUCAUCUCGGUGCCAACGCCAUGUCCCAGACAUGGUCUUACAUGGGACCUCUCGUCUCGGUGCCCAUGCCAUGUCCCGGACAUGGUCUUACAGGGGACCUCUCAUGAUCUUAAGGAUGCCAAUGCCAUGUCCCAGACAUGGUCUUACAUGGGAUCUCUUUACCCAAAUGUCAUGACAUUCGUAUCCAGUACCAUCCUUAUGUAUCAACGGGACUUUUAAAUUUUAAUUCUCUAUCAUUUCAUGCUUGGAUCAUCAUCAAAUAAAUUCAUAAAAUAAAUUCAUAAUUGCUGGAAAUUAACAGAAUUAAUAAUAAAUAUUGAAAUAUUGCAUUUAUUUACCGUAAACUUACCUCGGUACCAAUUAUAGCCAAAUUCACCAACUUAGUCUUCAACUUUAUUCUUCCCUUUGUCUAACCUCGAGUUUCGUACUUCUUGAUCUAAAAUAGUAAAUUUAACUUAUUUAAUAAUCACAUUCAUUAAAACAGCCCUCGACUCUAACUUUUUUAAAAUUACAAUUUUGCCCCUAAACUUUUACAUAAUUACAUUUUUGCCCCCAAGGCUCGGAAAUUAAACUUCAUCUCUUAUUCUUAUGUUUUAUAACAUUCUGAACAUUUUUUCCUUCUAUGGAAACAUCAAAUUCUCACUCUAACAUGUACUUAUGAACAUUAGGUAUUUUUACCGAUUAUGUCGUUUUACUCGUUUUCACUUAAAAUCGCUUAGCAAAAGUUGUUUAACAUAAUUUCUAGCUACAUAUUCUAUCAUAAAACAUCAAAAUAAACACUUUUCACCUAUGGGUAUUUUUCCAAAUAUAAACCCUAGGUUAAAUUAUUGCUAAAAUAAGCUAAAUUAAGUUACCGGGAUCUCAAAAACGUAAAGAACAUUAAAAACGGGGCUUGGGAUCACUUACUAUGGAGCUUGGAAGCUUGAAAACCCUAACUAUGGCUUCCCCCCUUUCUGAUUUCGUUCAUAUGAAGAAGAUGAUGAUUUUUGUCAUCUUUUUCCCUUUUAAUUCAUUUUAAUUACUAGAUUACCAAAUUGCCCCUACUUAAAAAUUUUCUAUUUCACUUAUCUCAUGUCCAUUUUUGUCUACCAAGUUACCAAUGGUAUAAUUACCAUAUAAGGACCUCCAAUUUAAAGUUUCAUAACAAUUGGACACCUCUAACAUGUAGAACUCAACUUUUGCACUUUUUACAAUUUAGUCCUUUUGACUAAAUUGAGUGCCCAAACGUCGAAAUUUUCGAGCGAAAUUUUCAAAAAAUUAUUUUGUGAAAUUGUAGCCCAUAAAAAUAUAAGAAAAAUAAAAUUUUUAUCAUCGGAUUUGUGGUUCCGAAACCACUGUUCCGAUAACCUCAAAUUUGGGCCAUUACACCCAGCUUCCAUUCACUUUAACCUAUAAUGAAAUUAUCUUUUAAAACACUAAGUAAGUUCUUUUUCUGAAUCAACAAUAUAAAAUGUUUUGAACGCUUCGAUGUGGCAUGUCGGAUCCAGUCAUAAAGUCUGGGCCGGAUUUGGGGUGUUACAGUAAGUAAACAAACUUAUAAUAAAUAAAAAGCAUAAAAUAGUAAUAAUGGUAUUAACAAAAUACAUAUAGAUAUAAGUACAAUAACAAUAAUGGUAAUAAAAAAUAAAAAUAAUUGUAAUAAUAAUAGGUAUAAUACAUAAAAUAUAAACAUAAAUAUAAAGAGAGAAAUAAAAUUAGAUAAGACGAAUAUAAAUUAAGAUAUAAUAGCAAUAAUAGCAAUAAUAAUAAAUAUUGAUAAUAAACAAUAAUAAAAGGAAUAAAAAUAAUAGUAAUAAUAAGAAUAUUUAAUAAUAGUAAUAAUAACAACAAUAUAAUAUAUACACGAAAAGUACUGAUAAUAGCGCAAAUAAUAACAAAAAUAAUAAAAUUAACUAAUUUAACAGUAAAAUAGUUAAAUAAUGAAAAAGGGAUUAAAUUGAGGACUGAAACAAAUUAUUAAGUACAAAUUUAGAUAAACAAAAAUGAUUGCAAACUGAAUUAAAAGUGGAAGGACUUAUUUGGCAAAUAACCCACAUAGCAAAAACGCGCGGAUCUUAGGUAAGGCGGGUCGGGUCGCACGGGUAUGGCCAUUGCUCCGGCGAGGUUUCAGUCCGGUCGCCACCGUGGACCACCGCCGUCGCCGCCGUCGCCGGCCACCGCACACGGUGGCCUGAAAAUAUAAAAGGUACGCUUUUUUUAUAUAUUUUUUAAAAUUUUUUUGAUAUAAUCUAAUAUAUUGUAUAGGAAAAGAUAGAUUAAAAAAUAGAGAAAAAAGAAAAAAAAAAGAAGAAAAGAAAAAAAAACCUUAGCCCGAUUUUGAACCUCCUUUCUAUUUCAAUUGCUUUCGUUGUUCUUUUUGCUUUGAAUUGCUGCUGUUUUUAUUCAAUGUCUCUCCUUUGUAUUGAUGAAGAAAAAAAAAAGGGUCCUUUUACAUUGUGUUUUGAUGGCUUUUAUAGCCUUGUUACAUGAUUUAUUUUUUAUUAUCUUUCUUUUCUCUUCCUUUUGUAAGUGCAAGUGGAGUGGUGGCAUAGUGGUG